AAAGAGGCAUUUUUCAAUGCCACCCUAUAAAUCCAAAAAGAUCCAAG
Mesocricetus auratus (golden hamster) is the source of this 47-nucleotide non-coding RNA. Lineage: Eukaryota; Metazoa; Chordata; Mammalia; Rodentia; Cricetidae. The record is from Rfam.